RNAcentral lists this unclassified non-coding RNA (1206 nucleotides) under Zea mays. Its description in RNAcentral is "misc RNA Zm00001eb228150". Lineage: Eukaryota; Viridiplantae; Streptophyta; Magnoliopsida; Poales; Poaceae. The record is from RNAcentral.
GUUCCGGAAGAGGUUGAGCAGCUUGAGGUUGGUGAGAGCGGCGAAGCUGGCGGGUAUCUCGCCGGCGAGGUCAUUGAUGGAGAGGUCGAGCGACCGAAGGCUGGUGAGAGCGCCGAGCUCCGGCGGUAUCUCCCCCGUGAGCUGGUUCAAGGCGAGGAAGAGCGUGUCGAGGCGGGACAGCCGCGCGAGCUCCGGCGGGAUGGGCCCCGUGAGCGUGCAGCUGCUCAUGUCGAGGCGGACGAGCGACUGGAGCGCGCCGAACUCGCGCGGGACCCCGCCGCUGUACUGGUUGUAGUAUCCGACGUACAUCUCCCGGAGGCGGGAGAGGCGGGAGAGCGAGGGCGGGACCCGGCCCGACAGCGCGUUGCCGUUGAGGCCCAGGUACUCGAGCGCGGCGAGGUCGCCGAAGGUGUCCGGGAUGGAGCCGUUGAAGUAGUUCCCGCCGAGGUGGAGGUAGCGGAGGGAGCGCGCGUGCGGCGCGCCCAGCGGCGGGAGCGGGCCGGACAGGUUGUUGUUGUAGACGUCGACGAUCUCGAGCGCCGGGAAGUAGGCGGCGGGGGGCGGCGGCGGGAAGGGCCCGCUGAGGUUGUUGUUGGAGAGGUUGAGGUGGCGGAGCGCGGGCAUGGACGCGAGCGCGGGCGGGAGGCGGCCGCGGAGAUAGCAGUUGGCGACGGUGAGGCUGGCGAGCGCGUCCAGCAGCGCGACCUCGGGCGGGAGCGCGCCCCCGUGGAGCGGCACGGCCGUGAGGUUGAUCGCGACGACGCGCGACGUGGCGGCGUCGCAGGUCACGCCCGUGAACGCGCAGUGCGCCGGCGGGGUCGCGGCCGGGUCCCAGUCGGACAGCGGUGCCGAGGUGGAGUUUGUGGCGGACGGGACGAGCGACGCCUUGAGCCUCGACAGCGCGUACGCGUCCCGCUCCGGCGUGGCGGAGGCGGGGGCGGGGGCGGCGGCGGCGAGGAGGAGGAGGAGGAGGAGGCCGAGGAGGAAGGUGGGAGGAGGCAUUGUGAUUGUGGCGUUGUGGUGUGGUGGCGAGGGGGGCGUGGGGGUGGCGGAUGGAAUAAAAGGGAAGCGAGCGGAGUGAGGGGCUUAGCGGUGGUGGUGGUGGAGGAGGGAAUGGGCAUAUGGAAUGGAAUCGGCGGCGGCGGGGACGGGGACGGGGACGGCGCGGGCGAGAUGAUAGGCAGGUCAAAGGCAGGUGGCAUGGCG